AAAUGGCAAGGUAUCAACUGCAUACUGCCAAAGCAAAUGUAGUUUUGAGUUUCAUCUCAGAAGCAACUGGGUCCCUUCAAAUUUCAAUCAAGGAAUAGAAAUGGAAAAGAAAAUAAGUUAUUGAUGAAAUACUUGAAUAACUGCAUCGUUGAAUACGAAGCUUCCUGAUGAUGUUUCUGCCUCUAUUCUUCUCUUAAACUGUUCAUUUUUGGUGAAGGCAUAAA
This 224-nucleotide unclassified non-coding RNA is filed under the name Hevea brasiliensis (rubber tree). The record is from RNAcentral. Lineage: Eukaryota; Viridiplantae; Streptophyta; Magnoliopsida; Malpighiales; Euphorbiaceae.